This is a long non-coding RNA of Eriocheir sinensis (Chinese mitten crab), 1917 nucleotides long. RefSeq lists it as uncharacterized. The transcript is spliced from 8 exons. The record is from RefSeq and is a predicted model, not a curated record. Lineage: Eukaryota; Metazoa; Arthropoda; Malacostraca; Decapoda; Varunidae.
UGGUGCUGGUGUGACUUGUACAGGUAACUCUCAAUUUUCGCGUGUUUGGUUUAUGCGUUUUUGAAAUAACGCGGGGUCCAAAAUCCAAAUAAAUGUUUAAUUUACACAUUUUUUUCAUUUUUAUGGAUGUGUCACGCAACUGGACUCACAAAGUGCCGCAGCCACACAGCUGAGCUCAGUUCUUCCUGCGCGCCACUUGAACAACACUACAGUACCCACGCUGCCAUGCUACUCAACAAUAGGGGUGGGCAGAGUGGCCGAGGGUGGCGUGCGGCCCUGCAUCGCAUCAGAUCAGCUGCCCCAUCACGCCCGUCACAUUCUGGGCCAAGGAGAACCUCGGGUGGCAGGCAGCACAGCGGGGGAGGCGGCGGCGCGAGGCCGGGAGGAAGUUGGCGAUGGCUUUUACCAUCUGGCGAGGGAGCAGCCGUGGGUGGUGGCAGCAACUCGGCGAGCGGCGUGGAGGAGGGAGCCGCCAGGGUGGACCACGCCUACAGCCUGCACGUCACCGCCCGCCACUAAGGGCUGUGGGCGUGCAUGACUGCCAACCAAAGACUCACCCCAGAGGAAGUGCCAGGCCAGCACCACCACAGGGACAGAGGAUGAGGAGGAGAGUGUUCCAGCGCUGCUCCAACUUAAUGCUCAUGGGCCACACUGAGCCCCGCUAAGAUGUCCUACCCAGUGGUUCCUCCUGCUGCCCCACUACAAGGGUGUGCCAGGAGUGCCCUCCAGCCUGCAGUCCUUGGGUGGCUGAACGCCCUUGAGGUAAAAAUGAGGUGCCUGGCGGAGCUGCUGGGUCCGUGUGACGCUGGAGGAGCCCGGUGCUGCCUACCUGGGGCCCACACACUCUUCAGCAUCUCCCUGCCUUGUUACACCCACUGACAACAAAUGCUGUGGAGGUGUUGUGAGGGGCAGUGGCAGCGUGUUGGUGUUCCUGGUGGAGCACAGCUGGACAGUGCAGGUGGCCAAGCAGCUCCCAGGGGAGACUUUGUGGCAUUUUUCACUCAAGCUGCAGUCUGUGCCCGGCUGUCCUGCAGCAGUGGCAGAAGCACUGCCUGGCCAGGCCAUCUCCUGCGCCUUACCACACACGGCUGUGCCAAACAACCUGAAGGAGGCUACCACUCAAGCCAUGCUGGAGCUGACUGACAUGAUGCACUCUUGGACUGAUAAGGUAAAGCUCUAAAGGACGAUUUCUCAUGGCUGUGAACAAGGUCCUUGCUGUUGAGGAGGGAACAUGCAGACCUGUGUAUUCUGUGGAGCUGGCCGGCGACUCCUUCACUCCACCGCUUGACAUGCAGAAAGAACUUGCCUUCAUGGCCUUCCCUCUGUCUGAGUGGGCAGGCAAAGCAGUGGUUUAUAUUAAGUUACUGUUUUACAUAAUGUACUGAGGGAAGGAAAGUCUUAAAUAACCAGCUCUUGGGUCAGUUCCAUUUCAUCCAUUGUCAUGUAUGUAAGGGAACCAUUAGCCCCAUAUUUGUUGUUCUCUUAAGUGACAAAGAAAUGGAAGUAAGGGAACAAUUUACACAUUUUUAUUGUUCUCUUAAGUGACAAAGAAAUGGAAGUAAGGGAACAAUUUACACAUUUUUAUUGUUCUCUUAAGUGACAAAGAAAUGGAAGUAAGGGAACAAUUUACACAUUUUUAUUGUUCUCUUAAGUGACAAAGAAAUGGAAGUAAGGGAACAAUUUACACAUUUUUAUUGUUCUCUUAAGUGACAAAGAAAUGGAAGUAAGGGAACCAUUAACACAUUUUUAUUGUUCUCUUAAGUGACAAAGAAAUGGAAAUCAGUCAUGUAGACUCUGCAUCCCCAUAUCAAGUCUUUCCUAGAGUAUCUUAAAAAGCAUAGAUGACUUAAUGACCAGAGAUUGGAAUGUCCUCCUUACUAGAUCAGCACAGCGGUCAUAGCACAUCAUAAUAAGUAA